Molecule: transfer RNA, 70 nt
Filed under: Megacopta bituminata
Lineage: Eukaryota; Metazoa; Arthropoda; Insecta; Hemiptera; Plataspidae
Description: tRNA-Ser
Source: RNAcentral
AAGGGGGAAUGAAGAACUAAAAGAAGCUGCUAACUAUCUUUUAAAGCGGUUUAACUCCGUUUAUCCCUUU